This 62-nucleotide transfer RNA is filed under the name Rhinebothriidae sp. DJM-2021. RNAcentral describes it as "tRNA-Pro". The record is from RNAcentral. Lineage: Eukaryota; Metazoa; Platyhelminthes; Cestoda; Rhinebothriidea; Rhinebothriidae.
CUCGCUUUAGUUUAAUAAGAAUGAAGGUUUUGGGGACCUUCGGUCUCCAUGGAGAGGCAAGA